This 253-nucleotide ribosomal RNA is filed under the name uncultured bacterium. RNAcentral's name for it is "partial 16S ribosomal RNA". It matches the Rfam family "Bacterial small subunit ribosomal RNA", at positions 524 to 776 of the family's 1533-position model. The record is from RNAcentral.
GACAGAGGGUGCAAACGUUGCUCGGAAUUAUUGGGCGUAAAGCGCGUGUAGGCGGCUCGUUAAGUCAGCUGUGAAAGCCCUCGGCUCAACCGGGGAAGUGCAGUUGAUACUGACAAGCUUGAGUUCCGAAGAGGGUGGCGGAAUGCUCAGUGUAGAGGUGAAAUUCGUAGAUAUUGGGCAGAACACCGGUGGCGAAGGCGGCCACCUGGGAGGAAACUGACGCUGAGACGCGAAGGCGUGGGUAUCAAACAGG